UAAAAAGUCCUUUAGACAC
This 19-nucleotide transfer RNA is filed under the name Rentapia hosii (common tree toad). Its description in RNAcentral is "partial tRNA-Phe". The record is from RNAcentral. Lineage: Eukaryota; Metazoa; Chordata; Amphibia; Anura; Bufonidae.